UACAGAGGGUGCAAGCGUUGUUCGGAAUUACUGGGCGUAAAGCGCGCGCAGGCGGGAUGGCAAGUCGGAUGUGAAAGCCCUCGGCUCAACCGGGGAAGUGCAUUCGAAACUGCUGUUCUUGAGUGUCGGAGAGGGUGGUGGAAUUCCCGGUGUAGAGGUGAAAUUCGUAGAGUAUUCGGAAGAACACCAGUGGCGAAGGCGACAUACUGGCUCAUUACUGACGCUGAGGCUCGAAAGCGUGGGGAGCAAACAGG
Molecule: ribosomal RNA, 254 nt
Filed under: uncultured bacterium
Lineage: Bacteria
Description: partial 16S ribosomal RNA
Rfam family: Bacterial small subunit ribosomal RNA
Source: RNAcentral